Molecule: ribosomal RNA, 497 nt
Filed under: uncultured bacterium
Lineage: Bacteria
Description: partial 16S ribosomal RNA
Rfam family: Bacterial small subunit ribosomal RNA
Source: RNAcentral
GAUGAACGCUGGCGGCGUGCCUAAUACAUGCAAGUCGAGCGAACAGACGAGGAGCUUGCUCCCCUGACGUUAGCGGCGGACGGGUGAGUAACACGUGGAUAACCUACCUAUAUGACUGGGAUAACUUCGGGAAACCGGAGCUAAUACCGGAUAAUAUAUUGAACCGGAUGGUUCAAUAGUGAAAGACGGUUUUGCUGUCACUUAUAGAUGGAUCCGCGCCGCAUUAGCUAGUUGGUAAGGUAACGGCUUACCAAGGCAACGAUGCGUAGCCGACCUGAGAGGAUGAUCGGCCACACUGGAACUGAGACACGGUCCAGACUCCUACGGGAGGCAGCAGUAGGGAAUCUUCCGCAAUGGGCGAAAGCUUGACGGAGCAACGCCGCGUGAGUGAUGAAGGUCUUCGGAUCGUAAAGCUCUGUUAUUAGGGAAGAACAAAUGUGUGAGUAACUAUGCACGUCUUGACGGUACCUAAUCAAAAAGCCACGGCUAACUGCGUG